Molecule: ribosomal RNA, 253 nt
Filed under: uncultured bacterium
Lineage: Bacteria
Description: partial 16S ribosomal RNA
Rfam family: Bacterial small subunit ribosomal RNA
Source: RNAcentral
UACGGAGGGUGCGAGCGUUAAUCGGAAUUACUGGGCGUAAAGGGUGCGUAGGUUGUUAUAUAAGUUGACUGUGAAAGUCCUGGGCUCAACCUGGGGAUGUCAGUUAAGACUGUAUGACUUGAGUAUGGGAGAGGGUAGUGGAAUUUCCGGUGUAGCGGUGAAAUGCGUAGAUAUCGGAAGGAACACCAGUGGCGAAAGCGGCUUCCUGGUCCAGCACCGACGUUCAGGCACGAAAGCGUGGGGAGCAAACAGG